RNAcentral lists this ribosomal RNA (406 nucleotides) under uncultured bacterium. RNAcentral describes it as "partial 16S ribosomal RNA". It matches the Rfam family "Bacterial small subunit ribosomal RNA", at positions 30 to 526 of the family's 1533-position model. The record is from RNAcentral.
AUUGAACGCUGGCGGCAGGCCUAACACAUGCAAGUCGAACGAGUGGCAGACGGGUGAGUAAUGUCUGGGAAACUGCCUGAUGGAGGGGGAUAACUCCUGAAAACGGUAGCUAAUACCGCAUACCAUCAGCUGUGCCCAGAAGGGACUAGCUUGUUUGUGGGGUAACGGCUCACCAAGGACAAGAUCCCUAGCUGGUCUGAGAGGCUGACCAACCACACUGGAACUGAGACACGGUCCAUCCUCCUACGGGGUCCAGCAGUGGGGAAUAUUGCACAAUGGGCGCAAGCCGGAUGCAGCCAUGCCGCGUGUAUGAUGAAGGUCUUCGGUUGUUAAAGUACUUUCAGCGGGGAGGCGUUACCCGCAGAAGAAGCACCGGCUAACUCCGUGCCAGCAGCCGCGGUAAUAC